GUGAAUCAUCGAAUCUUUGAACGCAAAUUGCACUCUCUGGUAUUCCGGAGAGUAUGCCUGUUUGAGGGUCAGUUUAAAUAAAAAUCGGUGUGGUUGUUGCCUUUCGUGGUGAUGCACCGGAUUUGGGUUGUAUUGAGUUCGGUUAAGUGACUUAAAAUUUUGCAUGAUUUUUUUCGAAAGUAUUUAAAUGAUUUUACGUAUGUUUGUGAUAGAGAAUACUAGGGGUGGUAAUCUGAAUGAUAUGGGA
RNAcentral lists this unclassified non-coding RNA (247 nucleotides) under Glomeraceae sp. RNAcentral's name for it is "partial contains 5.8S ribosomal RNA and internal transcribed spacer 2". The stretch from base 1 to 71 matches the Rfam family "5.8S ribosomal RNA", at positions 84 to 154 of the family's 154-position model. Lineage: Eukaryota; Fungi; Glomeromycota; Glomeromycetes; Glomerales; Glomeraceae. The record is from RNAcentral.